GUUUUUCCGUGAGUGAAAGCAUAACCUGUGUGCAGAAAUGGCGUUGUAGGUUUGUUGUGAUUUUAGUUAUUUGUUUAUUGUGAAAGAGUCGUGUUGAAGUGCGUUAUUUCGUUUCCUUAGUUUAUUGGACUAGAGACUGAAACAGUUAAGACACAAUCUAAAAUCAGUGCAAUACUACACCCCAGUCACAUGGUGGAGCGUGUAAUCUGCUGCUUCAGCUAAGAGGCAGUUGAAUGGCUGUUGACACCGGUUUCAGUGAUAGCUGACGGAGAGUCAAAAUAUCCUGAACUAAAGGGGAUUCCUCAGAUUCAAUCUGCUCAUUGGAUUCGGAAAAAUAGCUGACUGUGUUCUGGUGUAGCAAGCAGAGUGGGCUGCAAGGCGAUUCUGGUUCAGAAUUUGAAAAGAGAGAUCCCUCCAACGGACAUCGAGUCCGUCCCGUCUCGUCUUCUAUUCCUGAGAUGAAGCAGAUGAUCAUGAAGAAGAGGAUAGGAACAAUGUUGUACUCAAAACUGGUCCAAUUGUCUA
Molecule: long non-coding RNA, 525 nt
Organism: Cryptotermes secundus
Lineage: Eukaryota; Metazoa; Arthropoda; Insecta; Blattodea; Kalotermitidae
Exons: 3
Source: RefSeq, a predicted model, not a curated record